UCGGGUGACCGUUGGAUCGGGGAUCUGCGGGUGAGAUCAAAGAAUCGUGGGGGAAUGCCGAUGGCGCCGCCGCGAGAGGGGACGAUGGCGCCGCCGCGAGCUCUACCCAAUGCGAGGCGACGAUGAGUGCGGGGGGCUACGGCGAUAGCGGCGCCGUCGAGGGAAUGGCGGCGGCGAGCUUGAUCCACGGCAUCGCCCGCAAGGUUGAGCCUGUAUGGAAGGAGUGACUUCAUCCCAUCCCCUUUCAAUCUACUCGCUCUGCCCUGACGAAAAUGAUCCAAAAAGUUAUUUAGUGGUUUAAUCCAGUGAAAAUAGAAAAAAAAAAUGCGAAGCAACGUUAUGGCAUUGGUUGGCGAUGGCAUAUUGGACUGACGUUACAGGCGAAACCCACCUUGAAGGUGGCGGAAUGCCCGGUCGGCGACGAAGCCGACGGUGGUCCGGCUCGCCCGGGAGCUACAGGAUUCAGUUUCCGCCGCCGAGCGCCGCGGUAGGGUCCGGCCACAUCAGGUAGGGCAUCCAUAAAUCUUCCACGCUAUCCCCCCCCCAACCCUUUGCUCAGUCUGUUCAUGCUCCAUGGCAGCCGUUAAGGGCGGCUCUCGAAACGACGGGGAGCUUCGAGCCCUUCGAAGAUUGGGAGUUCGGAAACCCUCGGCACGAGCGCCCAGUUCGUAGCCACUGGCUCCAGUCGAACCAGCAUCAUCUGCUUCACCUGAAGCACGCGGCGUCCGGAGAGAGGUGAGUUGCCCUCUUCACAUCUCAUGCUUUUGCGCGCACAUUUUUUAGUUGGUUCAGGUUCUGUUUCAUGAUUUCAUUAGUUCUCGUUGAGUGCCUACUCAAAUGUGUUAUUUUUUCCCUGUCUCUGUAACAUCGAGUACAAAUUAGCAAAGAAAGAUAUUCUCAACAAAAUGAAAAAAAAAACACAGAAAGCAUUUCUUGGAACAUACCAGGGGUAAGACCUGAUGUUUUUAUAAUAUUGUACUCCUAACUGAGCUUAGACUUAGAGAUACACAAAAUGUUUUGAGAUGAGAAAACAGUCUUAACCAAACUACAUUCAGUUUACCUUCAAACAAAGGAAGUAAACACACAUUACAUUAGGCUUAGCAUGUCACUGAUCGAUAUGCUAUUACAGAUAUAUGAGUUUUGAUGAGUAGUAAGAAUUCAAAUUCAAGUGAGCUAAAAUCGAGCUGAACUUGAGAUGGGUACCACCCGUGGUCCACUGGGCCUGUCCCUGUCACCACCCCUAUGAAUGGGAAUUGAUACACAACGCUUAACCAUGUUUUGUUGCGGAUUUAUGUCAUGUAUCUGUUUUGGUCCAGUUUCUUCUUGUUUCUGUUCCCCAAUUGUGCCUCCUUUAUUUUGUUGUGGAAAAUUUUGCUCUGCGUCUCCACUUCCAGAUUCAACUUGCUUAUUUUUGUAGAAAUAGAUAAUCAGAGCAAUCAAAAGCGAAGAAGUUGAGGUCACUCCAGUAAGAAUGAACAGACCUUCAAAACCUGCAAAGGUUAGGCUACCCGAACUAGUGAUAGUACCCACAUUUCGGCACUUAUUUUGAUCUCCAAUCCAUUUCUUUUCUAUUUGGUUGAUAGUGUCUCCCCCUGUUAUGUUGAGGAUUGCCUUCGAGAUGUCACCUUGUAGAGGGGAUUCCUUUUGAAAUGCCUACGAAAGAAAUAUAGCCUUUUUAAUUAGCUUAUAUCCACAGACCAUAAAAUAUCUUCUGUGUCUUUUAGUAAUGCGGAAACUAAAAGCAAGAGGGAUUGAACUUAUAUGCCAUACAUGUCUUAGCUCCCUUUAACUAAUCAUCCAAAAUGCUAAAAUAAUUAAUCCCAAUGCCUUUCUAGUACUAACCUAGCAGCAGUAAUCCUGCAACCUAGGUUAGUUGCCAAACACAAGAUCUGUUAACCUAGCCUAGAUGGGAUAAAUACUCUUUUUUUUAUCUGAUGCUGUUGACUUUUGGAUAUACUUUUAACCAUUUUUCUUAUUCAAAAAUUUUACAUAAUUAUUAAUUAUUUUGUUAUGAUUUGAUUUUAUUACUAUGGACACUUUAAGUAUGACUUAUAAUUUUGUAUAUUUGAACAUAAAUUUUGAAUAAGACGGAAGUCAAAAUUAGAUACAAAAUCAACAGUGUCAAAUAAAAAAAACCUAGAGGGAGUAUAAUGUUAGCUGACCAGGCUAUCUCAACCCGAACCAGGUACAGCCUUUAGUAAGCUAUAUAGACUGAAGUAUGGUUGACAUGUGUUCAACAUGGAUUUCAUCUCUAGCUACACCAACAUGCUUGGGUCUAAAGGUUUGUUAUUGAAGACUGAAGCAUGGAGUGUUAUUCCUUUUCUGUGCAUAAUUAGGAAAUAACAUGCAGUUUUCCUGUUAUCAAUUUACCAAGUCAAGCAAUAUAAGCUACCAAUAUCCUUUCAUUUUUGCAUAUAUGUAUUCCACUGUCACAGUCGAUAGAUCAAAAGCAUAAAAUAUAAAUUCAAAAUGCUGCUAGGUGAACUCAAUUGACUUCAGACAACGAAGAGUGAAUAAUAAUACUUUGUGUUCCUGCCUAUAAAGUUCAAACACGAUGUGAAGUAGACCUGAUAGUUAUAUGAAGAUCUAACUUUUAAAUCAGACAUGAAAUAGAAUGCCAUUUUAUUUUUUUGUAAAUAUCUGUUUACCCCCAAGAAUCUAACUGAUCAUCAUAUUUAUUUCCAGAUGUACUAAUAAGUAGAAGUAAAGUUAACUUACAUAUCCAAAUCCCGCUGUCUUAUAAAUCGGUCCAACCAUGGUAUACCCCUCACAGUGUUUCGCAAGAAACAAUUUGAUAUAUGGGACUUCAUCCACAAGAGCAGAAAUACCACCAUUCCUGCUUCCCCUAGAUAGUGCAUCUCGAGAAUCUUCAGCAUUAUCAUAUUGCUUGAUCCUCGAUCUGUCAAAACCGAGUUCUUCUAAAAGACCCUUGACAUAGGAACCUUCUUGACAGCCUACAUAUUCUCCACUUUUUAGGAGUUCAUGUACGUCAGUUAGAGUUGGCUGAAGCUGACGCACAGUUAGCAUUGAUGUCAAACUUGCAGUGUAACUUGAUGUUAGCACCAGAAGAAAAAACAACCAUAUGAUCAACACUAUCCGAGACAGGAGGCGUUCCGCCAUGUCAUCUGCAGAAGUUACAACUAGGAGUUCAGCUAUUUUUGAAGUGUAAAAUGCCAAACUUAAAUGCUACAACAAUAAAUCAUAACAGUGAAAAAUUUCAACUCGUCCUUUAUAUGUAUCUCAUGUGCACUUAUACUGUAUUAUAUCAUUCAUAUUUUAUUUUAUUUUCCAGGGGGACAAACAGUAUGUAAAUACUCUGAAGUAUUGUAGUGUAAAAAAGAAAAAAAUAUAUCAAACAUUAAAUAAGGAGAUAAAUAUAAGCAGGCAGAGGAGAAAGGCACAAAUUAACUGAGACUGUCUAGUUAUUCUUCUUUUUAAGGGCCUAGUUGUUCCUUUGGUUUAUUUGUGGAGCAUACUUCUCUUUUGCCUAUGUUAUUUCCAUAUAUAUCUAUAGACCCAAAUACCCAAUAUGUUUCUCUAAUUUGGGGCAUUUGAUCAUCUAAGUCUUGAAAGUAUGAAUAUACACAAUUUGAGGAAAUCAUGUCACUAGUAUAUGCCUCUUACCUAGAAAAUAAAGUGGCUUGUUACUAAUUUCAAUAUUGCAAAAUAAUUUGCACAUAAAUAUCAAAGAUCAACACAUGUCAAAAAAGAUCUACAGUUCUACACAACCAAAUUGAUACUUAAAUUAAAUGCUUUACUUAUCCAAAAUCUUGUAUAUAUCAGAUAAUCAGAAAUAAAAUGAGGAAUGUACUCAACUCUCUACAAAUAGGGAAUAAUAUAUCAUAACCAUCUGUGUGGGAAUGGGGCCACGAGCAUUCUUGCUGUUACCAAGAAACUCCAGUAGCCAUACAACAAUCCCUGUGUAGAUAAAGAGUAUGAUGCUUCCAAACCACAUUCCAGGUGUCAGUGGCUUCAAAAAAAUCCAUGUAGUCGGGUUUAUGCUUUCUCUGAGUGGAACAAUCAUCGCCACACCAGAUUCUGUGUAUGGCAGGCUGAAAUCCACAUACGAAGAUCUUUUGUACCUAAUUGUUAUGUCUCCAAUUGCCAUGUCGUAUUUCUGCAAUUGAAUAAAUAUAUUUUUGAAGUAGGUGCACAAAAAGAUCAGUGUAAUCAUAGCUUAUUAUGAAUCCUGAACUACCUAGAAAAUAAUCAUGAAUGAUAUUAAAGUACCAGCUGGAUGCAUAAUAUUGCAAACUAUAUUCUGCUUUAAAUGUCAUUUUCUAGAAAAUUUUGUUGCCAUGAAAUAUGUUUUUUUUGUUGAUUUUUGGAGUUCAAUAUCCUAUGCAACUGAUUUUGUUAGUUAAGUGUGCAGAACUUCAUAAGAAUUUGGACUGAAGUUGGGCUCAUGCAUAAAUGUGACAAAGUGGUGAAACAUGAUCAUGCACACAUAUAUAGUUAUAAACACAUAAUGUUGACUAUAUUUAUAUCGGCAUAUCCCUAUUUCUUCGUCAAAAGAAAAACAUCAAUGUAGUGCCUAGCUACAUAUUACCAACAAAACCAUCCUUUUAAAUUGUUGGCUUUCCUUGUGUAGUUUUUGGUGUGUCUUUGCACUAAAUUAGCAUGAGGCGGGAAAUGUCUGAUUUUUUUUUCUGAGUGGAAAUAUCUGAAAUUGAGAACGGCAAAAUGCACGAACAAAAUUUCAAUGUGAAGAGAGGUUAUAAAGAAUUCACUUACCUUAAGAUAUACUUGAUAAACAAAAUCAUCAUAGCUUGAACUUAUAUUUCCUGUAGCGUUAUAGAAUACAUAUUCAUAAGGGAGAGCAUAAGGAAGUCUCUUUACUGCCUCUUCAAACACUUCAACUGCAAGGCCACUUGCUUUAGUCAUACCGGUCAUAAUAAGAUCCUUUUCAGCAUAUAUAUACUCUGGGUAUCCACUACUCGUGCACACACCAACUUGAAGCUUCUUCCCACUCGUUGGAAUUUCCCAACCCCUAGGUGUAUCUGUAGAUUCUCCUGGCCAAAUCGCAGGGUUUAGAUCAUGCUCUAUGCUUAGAUAUGUUCUAUUUGAUUUUUGUUUAGUUAAUUUCCGUGAAAAUCCAUCCUGUGCAGACCAAAACCCAAUCUCUCUCCAUCCUUUCCCCACUAUAUUUAUUAUUUGAAAUGUGGAAGAUUGCAAUUGCCUGGCAGAAAAGUUAAAGUAACCACUUAGACCUUUAAACUUAUACUGCACGAUUGCAUUUAGGAACUCCUGGCCAUUUCCAGAGUUUUUCAGGGUUUCCAAGCUUGUCAUGCUUUUUGUCAUAUGGUGCAUCUGGGCGAUUUCGUUUGUAAACUUGACCUGUUCUGCUGCUUGUGCUACUGCCCACAUUGUAUCGUAGCCCCAUAGGCCAAAUAUGCUUAAUUUCAACUGUGGGUCAUUGGGGUUGUCCAUCCGGAACCUUGUAGUCCAUCUUGCGGUGAAGUUAUCAAGUUCUGUUGAUCUAGGGACAUAGACCUCUACACCAAGGGCACCAUUCAUUGCUUCCAAAACUGAUGGGUUUAGCGAGUCUAUAAGACUGGCAACUCCAAAUGUUAUGAUCCAUACAUAUCCUUUGGUCAUCAUCCCCAACUCUUUCGCUUUUAAAUUGCCUUCUAGUGCAUCGAGAAGAUCCGGUAUAAUGCUUCUGCCAUAAUCGGUUUCUAUGUAGAUAGGAACCACUUCUCUCCAUUUGUAGUGCUUGAUUAGAUAUGCAAUGCUAUUCACUUGUGUGGAAUCAUUUAUUGUUGCCCGCACAAAAUAUGGUAUAUUGUCAAAAGUAAGGGAUGGACUUGUUGCUGUGAACGAGAUGAUAGGUACUUUACUUUUAUUUGCAAUUUCUGACACGAAAAAUACUUCUGAAGAUUUCUGAGGACCAAUGAUAGCUUUCACAUUAUAAUUGGUCAGCAGGUCAAGAGCUGCAAAAUUGCAUAAGCAGCAAGCAACAGUUUUAAAUUGUGCAUGGAAGCAAUUGAUACUUAUCGAGAUUCAAGUGCUAUAAUGAAAACUGGAAAAUUGAAAUACUAUCUUAAAUUUCUUGUGUAGAGAAUGCAUUGCUCUUCGUUAUGCUUCCUCGAAACAUUGUUUAUUUGUAAUAAAUUUUAAUACGGAAAAGGAUUAAUUAAUUGAUGUGUGAAAAUGCAGAGCAUCGAUGCUAGCAGCUAUGGAAAAUGCAUUUUGGAUUUCGGACUAAUCUUGUCCAAAUAAAUACCAUGGUCAAUAUAUUAUUUAGUUGUGAAGUUUGCUGCAUGUCAAAGGUUGUCCAGUUUCUUCAAGCUUGGAUGAUGCCAUUCAUCAGUAUCAGCUUUGUUGUUUACUCCAAGCUGAUAUGGAGCUGGAGCCUCAUAUAACCCUACUUUAGAAUACAUUGGAAUCAAUUAUACUUCCAUUGACUACAUCUUUUGGGACCAACACAGUAACACAUCACUAACUUUGAAUUAUUUUCCAUUUUGGAACAUACAUUGUCACUUCUGAUACAUGUUCAACCUGGGGGCCCUAUUACCGCGACUUAGCUACACAUUUGAUUGGGCCAGCGUCAUCCCAUUAUUUGAGUUCUCUCACUAGAAUUGAUUUGAUCAGGUAUCUUUUUUUUUCUUUUGUUACUGUUGUUAAAUUCAGGCAUAUAAUAAAUGUGCAAUCUGCAAUUUACUCAUUGCCCCCCUGAUGCAAUUCCAUUAGUUAAGAGGUGUGUUGCUUUUGGCAUGAUAUAUAUUACAAUCUUAGGGAUCAUUAGUUGCAAACAUGAAAAUUUUCUAUAAGAAAUUAUUAUCUUUAUCCAUUUUUAUCAAAUGGUCGUCUUUAAAUUUCAUUUAUAGUUAGUAUCCUGUUAUUAGCCCACAGUAAUGGUUAUUCGUUGACAGAAUGACAGCUGAUGUUGGGCACUGUUUAUAGCAUUGAUAAGUGAUAACUAGCAAAAUACUGAUGAUGGUACCAAUAGGUGAACCAAUAAUAAGAUGUGAUCGGCUGAGUAAAAUUUUAUAUGUUUUCAUUUUGGAUUUCUAUAUUUGAAUGCAGCGGUAGUUUUACCUAACGUUAAUAUUCAUUUGUAAUGCGUCAUGCAUGCAAUUCUCAAUACUUUAAGUUCUAAUUGACUAAAUUUCCUUUCUUCAACCUUAAAAUUAACCUGUCGUGUUGGAGCAAGUUCCAAAAGUUCCUCUCACCCUACAACUCCAGGUAAUGAUGCUUAUCUAUGGGUAAGCAUGUUCAAAAUUUUGUAUGGCAAUUUUUGUGGUGGUCUCUACUGCUAGUUCAAUGGACCAUAUCUAUUUUUACUACUACCUAAACUACUCGUAGUAGAAAAAAUCUUCCUACUAGUAGAGGAAGUCACAAAUCAAUGACUUGGAACAAUUUAUACAUGGGUGAUCAUACUAGUAGUAGCAUACUACCAGUAAGACCACCGUACUUGGUGUAAGCAUAAACAUGUCCAGCCAGAGUCGUUCAGUUUUUCAAGAUGUUAACACCGUUACACUAACAUAUGUUUUAUAGCCAAAGUAAUGUUUUGGGGGCUUACUCAAACAAAGUGGUGUAGAGCAGUAGGUAGAAUGUGAAGUAAUAUGGUAUAGUUUCUUCCAUGACAUGACAUAGCACAGAAUAUUUACCUUCUGAUGCUGCUUGGACACUACUGCCCAUUGAAUCCUUGAUGUGCAUAACAACUCUCGUGGUGUAGUUUGGAUGCAACGCAUAGAAAUCUUCAAUGGCCAAUAAAAUACUGGUCUUUGCUAUCUUCCCUACUAGUGAGCCCAAGUCGAGGAUCACCCCAACAUGAACUUGGUUUACUCCAUUUCUAUUGGUGUUUUGAGCUAUGCCUAAAUGUACUGUUAUUAAUAGCAGAAAGAGGAUGACCUGGGGUGCGUUCUCCAUUGCCAGAGCUGCAACUGUGAAAGGCUUGGCAAAACAUUUGUAGUGAGAUGCAUUCUUAUAGGACUAGCUGUUGAGGAGUAGCAUUCAUUAUUAUACUAGUUAAGCUGGCACCCAUCUUUUCGCUUCUGUUUAUACUUAUAAGCCAAAAUUUGAAUUUUCAACUAUAAAUUUGAAGUUGAUUUUGGGGUUUUCACCGAAGUUUAUUUUUGAGCCUUGGCUUUUAGACUGUUAAGAAUACGUACAUAAAAUUUUUAUUCACAAAUUAUUUUUCGUUUACAAACAUGCUGUGAAAAAGUCAAACAAUCAUCCAAGGAUGUUUAGUAAAAGCAUGGAGGAUUCUAUUUUUCUCCUAUUGGUCGAUCCAUUGUCGUUCAUAUUUUAAGUGCGGAAUAAAGUCUAUUAUGGCACUGGAAGUUUCUGAUACGGUGACAUCCGAAGACCUAAGAAGACUGAAUAACUACUAAAUGAACUGGCAAGUGUUUCUCAGAAAGUGCUGGAAUCUGAUUCAUGAGAUUGUUAUCAUUUUUAGAAAGAUAAUCUAUUAUUUUCUUCCAUGCAAUAUUUGACUUUUAUUGAAAGGAAUAUCUGACUAUUGCACCUGACUCUCCUGUAUUUUACUACCCAUUUUAAAUAUAUGGUAUUAUUAACUUUUGGACAUGAUGAUUGACAAUUCGUCUUAGUUGAAAAACUACGUAAGUAUCGUUUAUUUUGUUGUAACUUGUUUUAUCAUUAAAUAUACUUUAAGCAUGAUUUGUAUUUUUGCACAUUUGCAUUGACUUUUUGAAUAAGAAGAAUUGUCAAACAUAAUGUCCAAAAGUUAACAACGUCAUAUAUAUUUAUAAAUGGAGGGGGUAUGAUUACUUUGUUUGGCGCGUUGUUUAAACAGCCUCUGAAAAGUUCCUUUUGAAUCAACGUACUAAAAUUUAAUUAAUUCGACCCAAUUUGUCUUGUCUUUGGAAGGGUGGUAUUUUUUUAAUGAAUUGAACUAAGGGAGCAUACAGCUUCUAUCAUCUACAAAAUGGAAAGGAACUUAGUUGUUCGACUAACAACUCCCAAUCUUGUAUUAUCAUUAUUUUUUAAUGGAAGCAACAGCUACUAGCCUCUCACCUGAUGAUUUUUUUUGGACAACAAUAUUGUCCAUUUGUAAGAUAACUAAUGGAUGGCUGUGCAAAGUAUCUCUAGUUGAGAGGUCAAAACUCGCAGAUUAAUGGGUCAAUGAUGCUUUUUGUCAGCAAUAUACGUUUGACAACUGAAAAGGGGUUGCUCACUAGCUUAUUAUGAGGUCUAGAAUAUCUGUGCAGUUGAAACUUGAAAGGUUGAUGGUGCUUGUUCUGUACUUCCAUCGAGCAAGAUUAUUGUUUAUCAGGUCGUCCGUCCAAACCGGUUGUAUUUGACUCUGCGACCAACUUGUGGGGUUUUCUAAUUUAUACUAUGGUUCUAUUUAGGAGGCUUUUAGCCUCUGUAGCUUCUUACAUAACCUACAGCUGUCAAGUUCUUACCGUCCCCGAAUAUUUAACGUGGUUGAAUUUUUUUCAAACAUAUUGCAUUUAGAUUUUUUGGAGUAGUAUUUAGAUUUUGAGGAUUUGCCUUUCUAGAAUCCAAAAAAUGUAUUAGCAGGCAGAAGCAGCAAAUUUAACCUUUUCAAAUUCUCAGAAGUUAGCUUCUCAUCGGCUACUUUAUGAAAUCUUAGCUUUUCUAAACGACAUCAGGUUUUCUUUCAUUCUAGCAUGAUUCUAAAUUGUAGUAUACUUUUUCGUCUUUCCACAGAAUCUUGAUUUUGACUUCAUAGCUCCCUGUCACUUAUGAGGUGAUGACACCUGGUGAUUGAAGUGUCAGGUUCUAUUUCACUCUAGCAUGAAUGCAUGAUUCUAUUAGGGUGUGUUUAGUUCGUGAAAAGAAAAUUUUUACAUAUCAUGCUGAACAUUUGAUCAGAUAUCAGAAGGUUUUUUUUGACACGGAUGAAAAAACGAAUUUCAUAUUUUACUUGGAAACCGCGAGAUGAAUCUUUUGAGUCUAAUUAAUCAGUCAUUAGCACAUGUGGACUAUUGUAGCACUUAUGACUAAUUAUGAACUGAUUAGACUUAAAAGAUCCGUCUCACGAUUUUUCCUCUAACUGUGCAAUUAGUUUUUUUAUCUAUAUUUAAUACUUCAUUUAGGUGUCUAAAGAUUCAGUGUGAUGUUUUUGAAAAAAAAAAUUUGAAAAUUAUAUGGGCCCAAUAGUAUAAUUUUUCGUCUUUCCACAUAAUCAUGAUUUUGACCUCAUAGCUCCCUGUCACUAAUGAUGUGAUGACGCCUGGUGAUUGAAGUGUCGUUAUGUUAAGCUAUGACUUAUUACAUGUAAUGUUAAUGCCGCGUUUGGAACCUGGUAAUGUUUCUUGAUUUUAUAUGAAUUAAACUAUUUCGUGUCAAAUUUAUCUAGGAUUCACACAUUGGAAUGUAAUAUUACUGGUGGAGAAAACAUUUUUUUUUGGAACCCCCUACAAAACAUGAGCCGAUUUUUUAAUGGCUGCUUUUCAUCACAUAUAUAAAGAAAAUGUUUUAGCUAGUAUUCUUUUUUCCCUCCAAAAAGAUAUCGGAAAAUGAUGUACGUACGAAUUCGUUGGUACGAUGCGUUUACGAUUCAGCUGUGCGUCGAUCGAAUUCCGUCGUCGUGUCUUGGGGAUGCGCGCACGCUGCCGUUAGUGCGUACGUUCGAUCGUCGUACGCAUGGCGCUGCUAAAAAAUAUCUAACACAGAGAAACAUCGAUAACAUGUUGACCGAAACAUGGAGAAUCACGAAAUGUACAAUGUCCAGAUCUGGUCCUUUCCUCUAUUCUCAACUGCCUGUGGGAAGCGGAGGAACAAGGCAGCAAUGGCUGAGCCACUGGUUGUUCUUCCUUCUCCUUCCGCAAGAUGCAAGAUGCCGGUGACACAACAAGGUUCACGUUAUCAUGGCUACCGCCGCGAAAACCACGGUAGGGGUGGUCUUCGCCGGGGGAUGGUUUUGGUAUACCGUGAUAGGUCCGUUUAAAUUUAAGGAGAAUUUAAAAAAAAUUAAAAAUUUGAUAGAAAAAAUAUGUGUUAGAGAUUAAUUUGCACUGAAGUUCGGUUCAAGAAAUAGAUGAAAAGAAUAAAUUUAUGAAUGAUUAAAAAAUCAUAGUAAAGAAAGAGGAGAAAAAUUUAUAAAAUUUAAUUAGAUAAAAAUUGUUUGUAGCUACAUGUUUAUAUAUGAAACAAUAGACAUGACACGAGGAAUGAGAUUGAUUUGUAGACAUGUGGAUAUGUUUGUACGUGGUCGGUUAGGUUACUAUAAAAAAUAAAAAAUGUAGCUAUCAUUAGUUAGUUCAUACUGCAUAGCUUCCUAUGCCAAUUAAUUUACGUAACAUUUAUAACUUUUAGGGAUAUGUAUGCAUGAUAAAUACACAUGAUUCUUAAUUUCUUGGUACAAAAUACGUGAUUUAUUUAUUACUUUUGAAUAUAGAUGCAUUAUGACAGAUAUAACCUCUAAUCUGGUGUGAGAACAUGGAUAACCCCUUAUCAUAAUUUCCAAAAACAUGUUAUAACGGUCAAAACUACACUUAACUACCAAUUUCCUAUUUUUUUAUAAUUUUUAUAGUUUUUUAGAUUUUUUAAUAAUUUUUACCUCGGUUUAUACACAUGGAUGCAGUACUUAGAAUGAGUUUCAUGCACUAUAGGUUGGAUUUUGAAUACGUUUUCUCCCCUCUUCACCGACGCAACGCAAGCCCCUAUCUCUAAUACAGGCGCGGCGGUUGGUCGGCCGGCCGGCCACGAUGCCGGCGAUGGUUUCGGGUCCUCCAAAAGCUGCAGGAUUCAGUUGCCGCCAGAGGAGAACGCCGCUGUAUGGCCCUGGUACAGCAGGUCCGGCUCCAUCCAUAAAUCUUCUGUACCUUCGCUGUUCUUAUCCUUAUCCUUCAAGUUUUCGCAUUUCCCCCUUUUUGCUCAGCUUGGUUCCUGGCCGUUGCGUUAAUGGCGGGUCUAAGCGAGAGCCUUGGACCGGGAGCGGGAAGCCCUCGGUGCCAGAUUCCAACUGGUAGCCCGGCCCUGACUCCAACCACUUGAAGCAGGUGGCGUCCGGCGGGGAAAUGAGUUGCCCUCUUCAAAUCUCAUGUGUUUCGUAUUUUUUGUUUGUUCGCGUUCUAUUUGCUUGCUUUUGGUUGAAUACUAACUUAAAUGUGUUUUUUUUACUGUCUCUGUAACAUUGAGUACAAUUUAUCACGCAAAGUCUGCUGUGUUCCAGAAAAUUGAACAGAAGGCAUUUCUUGCAAUACAACCAGGGGAGAGCCCUGAUAGUUGUGUAAAUUGUAUGAUAAACGAAGCCUAUAGAUAUAUAUAUACAAAAUGUUUAAGAGGAGAAACUAGUAUUAAUGAAAUUUCAUUCAUUUUACAUUUAAACUGUGAAAGUAAUCGCACAUUUUCUGUCCAG
Molecule: long non-coding RNA, 12298 nt
Filed under: Oryza brachyantha (malo sina)
Lineage: Eukaryota; Viridiplantae; Streptophyta; Magnoliopsida; Poales; Poaceae
Description: long non-coding RNA (OBRA_LNC002488)
Source: RNAcentral